RNAcentral lists this transfer RNA (73 nucleotides) under Hamadaea flava. RNAcentral's name for it is "tRNA-Leu". It matches the Rfam family "tRNA". Rfam says of the family: Transfer RNA (tRNA) molecules are approximately 80 nucleotides in length. Their secondary structure includes four short double-helical elements and three loops (D, anti-codon, and T loops). The record is from RNAcentral. RNAcentral also lists the same sequence under 2 other names. Lineage: Bacteria; Bacillati; Actinomycetota; Actinomycetes; Micromonosporales; Micromonosporaceae.
GCCCGGCUGGCCCAACGGGAGAGGCGGCGCGCUUAGAACGCGCAGGUUGGGGGUUCGAAUCCCUCGCCGGGUA